This is a long non-coding RNA of Gopherus agassizii (Agassiz's desert tortoise), 1276 nucleotides long. The record is from Ensembl. Lineage: Eukaryota; Metazoa; Chordata; Testudines; Testudinidae.
CUUGGAGCUUAGGUGGAGGAUGCCUUCCCUAAUAGUAAGGGCUUAAAGAGCACAAAGAUGAAGGGACUCGACAGAAAUGGGCUUUUUGUUCUUCCUGGUGAUAGAGAACAGCAGGGAAGGGCUGGAGCUCCGUGCCUGGUGACUUUCCGACACUGGAAGAGGUGGCAAUGUCAUCUACAUUCUUCCUCUCUCUGGCCUGGUCUGCUCAGGACCUCUCUCAGGAUCAGGAUGGUGAAGCUCCAGGGUCUCAGGAGAUGGCAGGCCUGGCAGUCAUGAUGGUGAAGUUCAUUCCAGUAGCCAAUUUUUUCUCCCAGAGUCUCUUUCUUUAAGGACCCCAAAGAGGGUGAUGCACGGAAUAGCCCAUCUCUUAUUAUUGUGUCCACCAGUUAGGCCUAGUUUUCACCACACUAAUUUUGUUUAACUGGUUUCUGAUUCCACACUUUUCUUGUCCACCAGGCAUGACCUUAACAUAGUCCUUGAGUUACAUCAGGAGGCCUUUUUGCUUGGAUUAAAUCAGUCUGUCUGUCUCCCUUUCGUACCUUUCCCCACUAACAUUUGCUAGUUUUGGUUGUUGUGACAUCUUAUGAACUUACACUAACUUUUGACAAUUGAACCCGCAAUGAAUGCACUGUUGUGAUAACUGGACCUAUCUGCACCAACCGCUGGGCAUCCGGCCAUCGUAAAAACUGAGCCAGCAUGCAUCCCCUUCCCCUCUUCUCCCUGUGAUCACUCUAUAAAAAGUUCUGAUUUAAGGGAGGUGCCACAGUAUGUAUUUUUUGUACCAAUAGGUUUACCAUACGUCCAUAUUUUCCUCCUGGAUGGCGAUUUAAGAACCACUCUGCUUAAUCCUGAUGUGUCUAGCCCUGGGGAGGAUCAGAGUCCCAGCAUGGGGCCUGGGACAAACCCCCAGCAAGGCACUCAGGGGGAGGGAUAGUUCAGUGGUAUGAGCAUUAGCCUGCUAAACCCUGAGUUAGAAGUUCAAUCUUUGAGGGGGCCGUUUAGGGAACUGGGGUAAAAAUCUGUCUGGGGAUUGGUCCUGCUUUGAGCAAGGGGUUGGACUAGGUGACCUUCUGAAGUCCCUUCCAACUCUAAUCUUCUAUGACUCCCUGUCCAUCCCUUCUCUCUAUGUCAGGGGUAGAUAACCUAUAGCAUGUGUGCCAAAGGCAGCACACAAGCUGAUUUUCAGGGGCAGUCACACUGCCUGGGUCCUGGCCACCAGUCUAGGGGGGCUCUGCAUUUUAAUUUAAUUUUAAAUGAAGCUUCUUAAACAUUUUUA